This 264-nucleotide long non-coding RNA is filed under the name Carica papaya (papaya). RNAcentral's name for it is "long non-coding RNA (CPAP_LNC000170)". The record is from RNAcentral. Lineage: Eukaryota; Viridiplantae; Streptophyta; Magnoliopsida; Brassicales; Caricaceae.
AGAAAAAUAAAUAUAGUGUUACUCGUAGCUCCGUCAAGGAGUUAGUACAAAAUUGUUGCUAAUACAACCACAUAAUUAGUAUUGAUUUAAUCCCUAAGAAUUUCCAAUUUUAUGGUGUGUAAUAUUGGUGCUCUUAAACUGAUAACAAUCCUAUUUUCCAUGCUUCCACUGAGCAUAUUAAGUUUGAUUAUCACUUUAGACGACAGCAUAACGAAAAAAUUGUGAACUCCUCCAAUGAGCAAAUCGGUGAUAUUUUAACUAAGC